GUACCUACGGGGCGCAGCAGUGGGAAUAUUGCACAAUGGGGGAAACCCUGAUGCAGCAACGCCGCGUGAGUGAAGAAGUAUUUCGGUAUGUAAAGCUCUAUCAGCAGGAAAGAAGAUGACGGUACCUGACCAAGAAGCCCCGGCUAACUACGUGCCAGCAGCCGCGGUAAUACGUAGGGGGCAAGCGUUAUCCGGAUUUACUGGGUGUAAAGGGAGCGCAGACGGCAGUGCAAGCCUGGAGUG
Molecule: ribosomal RNA, 243 nt
Filed under: uncultured bacterium
Lineage: Bacteria
Description: partial 16S ribosomal RNA
Rfam family: Bacterial small subunit ribosomal RNA
Source: RNAcentral